AUUCAUGCAAGGUCCACCAUUAGGCUUAUUGAUUACUAGUUAUUGCCCCUUGCGCUCUUCCUUGCUUAACUGUGUCUGUGGAUUCCUCCUUUAUCUUUCACUUUUCUUUGUUCAAUUCCUCCACAAAAGUCCUUCAUUCUUUUUCCACUAACCUUUAUCAGUGCAAUUGAUUGUCUUCCGAUUUUCUAUCCGUUGAAUUACAAUGUUUACCAGAUUAAAACCAGCUUAAUUGUGUUAUUAUGUUGUGGAAAUAUUACAAUGCUUUUCGGCAAUUCAAUUCUCCGCGUCUUUGUCUAUCUGUGUUUGUGAUUAAAUUGCCGUUUCAUUUCAAAGCACCUUUUUAUCCCUUCUUUCAUCCUUAGCAAUUGUUUUGUUUUGUUUUGAAAGUAGCAGUUGAAUUAUACCUUUUUUCUUUUUCUUUUUCUUUUUUUUUUUUUGGGAAAAUUCUUCAAUGAAGGUAUAAAAAGCGAUUUGGGGUUCGAUACUCUGGCCCCUAUAGGAAAAAAACAGAGUUUGGUGUUAAAAGGUCUGGAAUAAUCUUGAGCUCUGAUUCAUCUUCCCAAUUUUGGGUUCUGAUAAGCAGGUGAAGUGCGUUUCAGAGGGAAAAAAAAAUGAUACCUUAAUUAUUCAGAGAUUGGGAAGGGUCAUGGUGUCUACUAUUUUUGUUUAAACCUUCUACCAUUUUAGCUUUUUGCAUAAUAUCAAAAAAAUAAAGGGAUAGGGGCAAGGGUAUACUUGGUUGAUUUAUUUUUUUAUUUUUGUUAGUGUAGCUAGCACUUAGGACCCUAAUAACGACAAGGGUGGUUGAAAGUUCAUUACUUUUGUUGGAAGCUUAUUGGUGGAUUUUGUUCUAAGUAUCUGAAGAUUAUGUGGAGGAUUGGGAUGUUCUUCAACGGGAUUUGAAAAUAAAGUUUUAUUGGGAUUUUGUGAAGGAUCCAAUAUCGGGAAAUAGGGACUGUGACUGUCUGCCUGGUCUUCUGUGCAUACUGAACAUCAUCAGGGCCCUAUGGAUGGGGGCCUGCAUGUCCAGUGAAAGCAGGAGCCCACUCCCUGGUUCUUCAACAGGAGUCAGGAAGACGAAGGGAUCCAAAAGGAGCCUGGCAUCUCGAAAUUCUUCCUUUGAUCAUAGGAGGGAGAAACAGCUGCAUAGAACAUCCGGAUGCCUGUUUUUAAAUGGAUCGAGCGAGAAAGCUUCAAUUUUUACCCAGAAAGGCAACAAAGGAAUAAAUCAAGAUACCAUGAUUGUCUGGGAGGUUGGUUGGCUCCUGCUCCCUUUUAUCUUCAUAAUUGUUUAAUUAGUUGCUUUCUAUAUUUCAUUUUUGUGCUUCAUAAAUUUUAACUUAUUCUCUGUAGUUGGUUUCUGCAGUAAGGGUGCUAAAUUAUUAAUAGUAAUAGAUGUAUCUUUUUCAUGGUAAUAACCUUACUGGACAUUUAUUUGUUCUUUACAAUUGUACACUCAUCUGGAAAGUCAUAUGCCUUCUUGUUUAAUUAAGAGCGCGCUCAAUCAAUUCGUUUCUUUGUUUUUCAAGAUUAUUUUAAUCCUUCUGUGGCUUCUUCAAGAGAAUCUUACUCACACUAUGAUUUUGUAUGUUAUUGCUUUUGCAACCUACGUUAUAUGAUUAGUUAGUGGAAGUUUUUGUGCACAUUCACGUAACUUACGAUCCUGUUAAAUGAUUAUUCUUACUCAUCUAAGAGGGCAUAUGACCCCUGAUAAAUGAACACACUAUCUUGCUAUAUCAAAAACUUUAUUGCCAUUAUCAGUCUCAAGUGGUUUGCAAGACAUUGGCAUUUAUUAAUUCAUUAGACAAUGUCCACAAUUUUGGUUCAUGUUGAAGUCAAAUUGACACUUUUGCUGUAAAAAGAAAAAAAAUUUGUACUUUUUAUCAGCUUGAAAUUAGCUGAAUUUAAGGAUAAAAGCUGAUAGUUUUUACCAAAAUAUGGUCUUGCAUGUUUUAAGGAAAGCUGUCAAGAAAGUUAGUAUGUAUUAGGUAAAGUGCUGUUGACUAUUUUUGCUGGAAACUUCUUGUAAUCUCUAUAUAUUUGAGAUGUAAUAUAUCAGCUCGUUUUUGGAGUGAACUUACUGAAAAAUAUACCAGCUUCCAUCCUCUUUGUUCAAAAAUCUUUCAGUGGUAUCAGAGCCCUCUCUGAUCUUGGAGGGGCCGUGAGAGUUGUGCAACAAAAUCUGGAGAGAAAACCAGCAAGCAACCCUUCACCAAACAGCCGAGUGAUCUGUGAGGGUGAGUAAUGGCUUCCAGCAAUUUUGCAGCACAGCUACCUUCUAUUUUUAUAGAAGAAAAUUAUGAUAUUUGGGCUGCUAAGAUGAAGGCCUACCUGAAGGCUUGUGAUCUGUGGGUAAUCACUGAAACAGGAAGUGAACCUCCACCCCUAAGAGCAAAUCCCACAAUUGCUCAACUAAAGCAACAUAGUGAGGAAGUUGCAAAGAAGUACAAGGCUCUUUCAUGCAUUCAAUCUGCUGUCUCUGAUGUAAUUUUCACAAGAAUCAUGACUUGUGAAACUGCUAAGGAAGCUUGGAACUGAUUAAAGGAGGAGUUCCAAGGCAAUGCAAAGACAAGGCAGAUGCAGGUCCUGAAUCUUAGAAGGGAAUUUGGAGCAUUGAAGAUGAAGGACACAGAAAGAGUGAAGGAGUUUUCUGACAGGCUACUGAAGGUGGUUAACCAAGUGAGACUGUUGGGGGGAAGAUCUACCUGACAAAAAGGUUGUGAAAAGGGUUUUGGUAAGCUUGCCUGAGAAGUUUGAGGCAAAGAUCUCCUCUCUUGAAGACUCAAGAGAUCUGUCCACGAUGUCUUUGUCAGAGCUAGUAAAUGCUCUCUAAGCUACUGAACAAAGAAGCUCAUCAGUCAGGAGGAGCAAACUGAAGGAGCUUUACUUGCCAAAGAAAAAAAUAAAGCUCAAUUAGGAUCUGGAGGAAAGAAACAACAAAAUGAGAAGAAAGAUGGUGCGAGCAGCAUAAGUGGAGGCAAAGAUGUAAAAAACUCUCCUUGUCCUCGUUGUAAAAAGAAGGAACAUUCUCCAAAAUGGUGUUGGUUCAGGCCUAGUGUUCAAUGUAGGGCUUGUAAACAAUUUGGUCAUGUUGAAAAGGUCUGUAAAAACAAGAAAGACCAGCAAACUCAGCAGCAAGCAAAAAUUGCAGAAAAUCAGCAUCAACAACAGCAGGAGGAACAUUUGUUCACUGCUGUCAACUACAAAAUCUGAAGCAAUGAUGGAACUUGGUUGCUGGAUAGUGGAUGCACUCAUCAUAUGAAUUCAAACUCCAGCAUCUUCACUGAAUUGAAUGAAUCAUACAGAUCAAGAGUCAAGGUUGGCAAUGGAGAACAUGUGGAGGUCAAAGGAAUUGGUAUGAUUGUUGUGGAGACUCCAACAGGUACUAAACACAUAUCUGAUGUACUUUAUGUACCUGACAUAGAUCAAAAUCUAGUUAGCGUAGGCCAAUUGCUAGAGAAAAUCUACACCUUAAUAUUUAAGAAUAAAGCUUGCACUAUACCAGAUGCAAAUGAUCUUGAAUUGAUGUCUGUUAUGAUGAAGAAUAGAAGCUUUCCUUUACAAUGGAAAAACAUCACCACUCGUGCAUUUUCCAGUACGGUGGUUGAGUCUUCCUUGUGGCACAAAAGAUUUGGCCAUGCAAACUUCACCUCACUUAAGCACUUGCAUAAACUUGAUCUAGUAAAGAACAUGC
RNAcentral lists this long non-coding RNA (3694 nucleotides) under Olea europaea subsp. europaea. Lineage: Eukaryota; Viridiplantae; Streptophyta; Magnoliopsida; Lamiales; Oleaceae. The record is from RNAcentral.